GUGGGGAAUAUUGCGCAAUGGAGGAAACUCUGACGCAGCAACGCCGCGUGAAGGAUGAAGGUCUUCGGAUUGUAAACUUCUUUGAUGAGGGACGAAGGAAGUGACGGUACCUCAAAAACAAGCCACGGCUAACUACGUGCCAGCAGCCGCGGUAAUACGUAGGUGGCGAGCGUUGUCCGGAAUUACUGGGUGUAAAGGGCGCGUAGGCGGGGAUGUAAGUCAGAUGUGAAAUACCAUGGCUCAACCGUGGGGCUGCAUCUGAAACUAUGUUUCUUGAGUGCUGGAGAGGAAAGCGGAAUUCCUAGUGUAGCGGUGAAAUGCGUAGAUAUUAGGAGGAACACCAGUGGCGAAGGCGGCUUUCUGGACAGUAACUGACGCUGAGGCGCGAAAGCGUGGGGAGCGAACAGG
Molecule: ribosomal RNA, 408 nt
Filed under: uncultured bacterium
Lineage: Bacteria
Description: bacterial SSU rRNA
Rfam family: Bacterial small subunit ribosomal RNA
Source: RNAcentral